RNAcentral lists this small RNA (663 nucleotides) under Pan troglodytes (chimpanzee). Its description in RNAcentral is "retained intron". Lineage: Eukaryota; Metazoa; Chordata; Mammalia; Primates; Hominidae. The record is from RNAcentral.
CUACAAAUAGUUCCGUGAGAAAGAUGGCCGGGAACUCGAUCCUGCUGGCUGCUGUCUCUAUUCUCUCGGCCUGUCAGCAAAGUUAUUUUGCUUUGCAAGUUGGAAAGGCAAGAUUAAAAUACAAAGUUACGCCCCCAGCAGUCACUGGGUCACCAGAGUUUGAGAGAGUAUUUCGGGCACAGUAAGUAAUGCUUCUUCCACCCUUCAUGGAUCUGUGCCUGCCAUACAGACACAAUUCCUGACUAGGGGAAAGGGAUAUGGAGAAGACCCUAAGUUCAUGUGCAAUAUCUAGUUAUAACAAGUCACUCUUCACAGCCAAGACCGUUCUCAGAAUCCAGAAAGUUUGAAGGGUUCGGGGCAUGAAGUCUCUGCCCACAUCUAUUACCAAUUCAGCAGGGUAUAUUUACAGAAAAGACUGGGAUCUCAGGAGGGACUGCUGUGUCUCCCAAGGAGGGUCACUGGGUCAAAGAGGCCCCCUGGAGCCUUGGGAGACCACAAUAGUCUGAAGUCGGAUUAGUUAUGCUACAAUUUUCUAUCUUAUUUUUUCCUCCCUACUUCAAAACAGAGGUAGAUCAGGAUUAAUCUUCUGCCAGUUUCUCUGUGAACCAUUUCUUAAAAUCAGACACCUGUAAGAAUGAGAAAGCUUGCCAGCUCACAUGCAUG